RNAcentral lists this unclassified non-coding RNA (2809 nucleotides) under Hevea brasiliensis (rubber tree). The record is from RNAcentral. Lineage: Eukaryota; Viridiplantae; Streptophyta; Magnoliopsida; Malpighiales; Euphorbiaceae.
AAAAAAUAAAAUAAAGGAGAAAAAUUAUCACUAGAAAAUAUGACAAAAAGAUACAGGGGUCGUUGUUGCAACCAGCAAUCCCCAGUUUCCCUAGCAUUUGAUAUUAGUAAGCAACAAGGCAAUGUAAAAGCAGUCUACAAUUUCAUCCAGUAAUCAACUCCAACUCCAGAUCCAGAUGAAGAAUUCGUAUUCCUUGAUUGAAGUUUUGGAGGUCAGGCCAUGUGGCAUACUCGUCCUGAGAAGAGAGUCUGCUUCUUCUGAUGAUGCUUGGGCCCUUGAUCAAGAUCAACGUCUCUCAUGGUCCCUCCCAGCAUGUACCUGCUCGAUCUACUUUCAGAUAUAUGAAAGAAGUUAUUGAAUCAAAAAAGGGGUCUGGAGCCUAAACAGCAAAAGAUUUUGUUUAGGGGACAAGAAAAAGAGGAUUGGGAAUAUUUGCAUUAGGCAGGUGUGAAGGAUAAGUAGAAGAUUUUUGGUUUUGGAAAGCAUGGUAAGCGAAGAGGAGAAGCCUGUGGAGAUGAAGGAACAUGAGGGAACUUCAAAGGCGGAGGUAAAGGAAAGUGAGGAGAUCUCAAAGAGGAGAUGAAGGAAGAGAAGAAAUGUCAAAAGCAUUUCAAGCUAUUGCUGAAGUCAGAGAAGAGGUCAAUAAGCUUGUAGAAAGAGUUUCUGCUUUAGUGGUGGCUGUGAAGGGUGGGGGCCAGACUUUGGAGGAGGAAUUUUCUGUGUCAUCAGAGUUUCUGAUGAGGCAAUUGCUGAAAUUUGACACUAUUCAGGCUGAAGGAGAACCCAAGGUAUAGCAGAAGGCUGAGGUACACUGUGUCCAGAACUACCAUGAUCUGCUGGACAACCUAAAGGCUAGUAAUUCGAAGCCAUUUAGCACUAGCAGUAGCAGCAAUGCUGUGUCAGUGACAACUGAGUGGGAGACCUUUGACUCUGGAUUAGGAAGCUCGAGUCCAUCUCCACCCUCAGUGUCAUCUUCAACAAGAAUUAAUCAGGAUUGGGAAAGCUAAAGCAUACGCUUGUUCUCCAUGAGCAGCAUCAUCGCCAACUUUUAGCUCUUCAUCAGUCAUCCGCAGGGGUAUCAACAAUUUUAUCACACAAAGAAUGAUGGAUGUAACUAAUACGUUCCACCCUAUGACAAAACCUGCUCCUGCUAAUUGCUUUAGAAAUUGAAUUCCACCUCGAGUACCAUAGAAUGCCCCUUUCGAAUUAGGGACUACCAAGAACAACCCACUGAGGUAUGGAUGUGCAAAGAGCCCUGUCAGAGCCCCACCUAAGGUUCCGGCAACAGCAUGAGUGUGUAAUACACCCAGGGUAUCAUCAACCUUCUGCAGCAAGGGCAACUUCUUGCUCAAGCACAUCAUGGUGUACCAGGGGAUGCUUCCUGAUGCUAAACCCAUUACUAGUGCUGCCCAUCCUUGAACAAGACCUGUGGGGGAAAAUUUUGGGAAAUGAAGAAAGCUUUGUAUUGAGAAGUUUAAAAAGUUGGCUUUUCGAAUUGAAGGGUCUUACCUGCAGCAGGAGUGAUACACACCAACCCAGUUAUCAUUCCCUGAAUGGCACCAAUCACAGAGGGUUUUUUGAAGAAGAGGACAUCCCAACAGGUCCAUGCAAGGAGACUUGUCGCUGCACAGAUAUGAGUAUUGAGAACCGCUAAGGACGAGUCUACAUUGGCAGUGAAAGGAUCUCCGCCAUUGAAACCGGUCCAGCCCAUCCAAAGAAUACCAGCGCCAGCCAAUGCUAAUAAGAGAUUAUUUGGUGCGAAGUUUUCCCGGUCUUCCUUUAGUCUUGGUCCAACCUACAAGAGAAAUAAAGCAAGUUGACUUGUGUCAUCAAAUGUUGAAAAAUUCCAAGUGCAUGGACAGGAAAGGCGAAUAUAUAGGUGCUUACCCAAUAAGCUGCUGUGAAUCCUGCUGCACCAGAAGCUAGAUGGACAACAUAACCGCCUGAAUAAUCCAUGAUACCCCAUUGGAAGAGGAAGCCUCCGCCCCAUAUGCUGAAGGCUCCAACGCUGUAGGAGAAGGUGAUCCAUAGUGGUACAAAGACCAUCCAAGCUUUGAUGCUCAUCCGGCCUAAAACUGAUCCAGCAAGGAGUAUAACUGUCACGGCUGCAAAAGCAAACUGGAAGAAGACCAUGGUAGAUGUGGGAUACAGUGGUUGAGCUGCAGAAACAUUUUUGUAAUCCGUUGAUGGGAGAAUAGUUUGAGGAAUCAAGAAGUCUUGAGAGACUGCAAGGCCAGCUUUGCCCCAAAAUGGAAGGAGCUGAUGACCAAAGGACAUUUUGUAAGCCCAAAGGACCCAGCAAGGCAUGACAGCGGCAAAGGCAUAGAGUGCCAUAAAUGCUGAGUUAAGAGCCCAUUUCUUCUUGACGAGGCCAGCAUAAAGGAUCACUAACCCUGGCAUGCCUUGCAUGCCGACUAAUGUUGCAGAGAUCAUUUGCCAUGCAUUGUCGCCUUUGUUCAGCCAUUCAGGUGCAGCUGGGCUUCCCUGUUGGUAUGCUACUGGAACAACUGUAGCAGCAGCCAUUGUUGGUUUGGAAGCCCUAGGAUUUGGAUUCAAAGCAUCACCUUUACAGAGGUACCUAUAUUAGACAGAGGAUCCUAGUUAGUUAUAUAGGGGUAAAAUAAGAGGGGCCUUAAAAUUCUACUGAUUGUCUGGUUUGUCAUUGUUUGUGGAGAAUUCCCAUGUUAUGACAUUUCCUAGUCAUGUGCAAUGAGUGGUGCCAGUGUCAUCCAAGCUAACUUACGGUUUACCACUUGAUAUUUUAUUGUCAUUUUGAGUAUCGUUUCAGUAAUUGACUAGAAUCUUUUGC